RNAcentral lists this ribosomal RNA (424 nucleotides) under Fusobacteriota bacterium. Its description in RNAcentral is "Fusobacteria bacterium partial 16S ribosomal RNA". It matches the Rfam family "Bacterial small subunit ribosomal RNA", at positions 355 to 776 of the family's 1533-position model. Lineage: Bacteria; Fusobacteriati; Fusobacteriota. The record is from RNAcentral.
UGAGGAAUAUUGGUCAAUGGACGAGAGUCUGAACCAGCCAAGUAGCGUGAAGGAUGACUGCCAUAUGGGUUGUAAACUUCUGUUAUACGGGAAUAAAGUGAGGCACGUGUGCCUUUUUGUAUGUACCGUAUGAAUAAGGAACGGCUAACUCCGUGCCAGCAGCCGCGGUAAUACGGAGGAUCCGAGCGUUAUCCGGAUUUAUUGGGUUUAAAGGGAGCGUAGGCGGACGCUUAAGUCAGUUGUGAAAGUUUGCGGCUCAACCGUAAAAUUGCAGUUGAUACUGGGUGUCUGGAGUACAGUAGAGGCAGGCGGAAUUCGUGGUGUAGCGGUGAAAUGCUUAGAUAUCACGAAGAACUCCGAUUGCGAAGGCAGCCUGCUGGACUGUAACUGACGCUGAUGCUCGAAAGUGUGGGUAUCAAACAGG